RNAcentral lists this non-coding RNA (289 nucleotides) under Heterosigma akashiwo. The record is from RNAcentral. Lineage: Eukaryota; Raphidophyceae; Chattonellales; Chattonellaceae.
UUUUUUUUUUUUUUUUUUUUUUUUUUUUUUUCCCCAAGGAAAAGUGUACCACUUUACUAUUGCUGGAAGUGUGUACACAUGAGUGGUGCUGUAACAGCAGCAAAGAGGAGGAGAUGUUUGUUGAAGAUUUAAAACUGCGUAUUUACCUAUGUGAGACUAUAUCACAGUCGGCACGAAUUGUAUAUAUUGUCAAUGCAACAUUUUCAUUUUUCGUUCUACUAUGACAUUGAAUGUAAUAUUUUGAAAAAGGGUCAACAAACGACCACCAGAAAUAUUCAGUAAUGUAUAA